GACAGAGGGUGCAAACGUUGUUCGGAAUUACUGGGCGUAAAGCGCGUGUAGGCGGCAGGGCAUGUCGGAUGUGAAAUCCCGUGGCUCAACCACGGAAGUGCACCCGAAACUGCCCAGCUCGAGUCUCGGAGAGGAAGGCGGAAUGCUUGGUGUAGAGGUGAAAUUCGUAGAUAUCAAGCGGAACACCGGUGGCGAAAGCGGCUACCUGGCCCAUUCUUGACGCUGAGGCGCGAAAGCUAGGGGAGCAAACGGG
Molecule: ribosomal RNA, 253 nt
Filed under: uncultured bacterium
Lineage: Bacteria
Description: partial 16S ribosomal RNA
Rfam family: Bacterial small subunit ribosomal RNA
Source: RNAcentral